RNAcentral lists this transfer RNA (79 nucleotides) under Neelus murinus. Its description in RNAcentral is "tRNA-Glu". The record is from RNAcentral. Lineage: Eukaryota; Metazoa; Arthropoda; Collembola; Neelipleona; Neelidae.
GGUUAUUGUAGUUUAUUUAAAAACACUACCUUUUCAAGGUAGAAACUCCUUAGGAUUAUAAUUGCUUAAGGAAUAAUGU